RNAcentral lists this ribosomal RNA (305 nucleotides) under uncultured bacterium. RNAcentral describes it as "bacterial SSU rRNA". It matches the Rfam family "Bacterial small subunit ribosomal RNA", at positions 335 to 658 of the family's 1533-position model. The record is from RNAcentral.
UGCCUACGGGGGGCAGCAGUCGGGAAUAUUGCGCAAUGGAGGAAACUCUGACGCAGUGACGCCGCGUAUAGGAAGAAGGUUUUCGGAUUGUAAACUAUUGUCGUGAGGGAAGAAAUUGACAGUACCUCAGGAGGAAGCUCCGGCUAACUAUGUGCCAGCAGCCGCGGUAAUACAUAGGGAGCAAGCGUUAUCCGGAUUUACUGGGUGUAAAGGGCGCGUAGGCGGGAUGGCAAGUCAGAUGUGAAAUCCGGGGGCUCAACCCCUGAACUGCAUUUGAAACUGUCGUUCUUGAGUACUGGAGAGGU